This 119-nucleotide ribosomal RNA is filed under the name Pteropus alecto (black flying fox). Lineage: Eukaryota; Metazoa; Chordata; Mammalia; Chiroptera; Pteropodidae. The record is from RNAcentral.
GUCUACAGCCAUGCCACCCUGAAUGAGCCCGAUCUCGUCUGAUCUCAGAAGCUAAGCAGAGUCUGGCCUGGUUAGUACUUGUAUGGGAGACCACCUAGGAAUACCAGGUGCUAUAGGUG